Molecule: ribosomal RNA, 119 nt
Organism: Prosopis cineraria
Lineage: Eukaryota; Viridiplantae; Streptophyta; Magnoliopsida; Fabales; Fabaceae
Source: RefSeq, a predicted model, not a curated record
GGGUGUGAUCAUACCAGCACCAAUGCACCGGAUCCCUUCUGAACUCUGCAUCUAAGCGUGCUUGGGCGAGAGCAGUACUAGGAUGGGUGACCUCUUGAGAAGUCCUCGUAUUACACCCC